GAUGAACGCUGGCGGCGUGCCUAAUACAUGCAAGUCGAGCGAACGGACGAGAAGCUUGCUUCUCUAAUGUUAGCGGCGGACGGGUGAGUAACACGUGGAUAACCUACCUAUAAGACUGGGAUAACUUCGGGAAACCGGAGCUAAUACCGGAUAAUAUUUUGAACCGCAUGGUUCAAAAGUGAAAGACGGUCUUGCUGUCACUUAUAGAUGGAUCCGCGCUGCAUUAGCUAGUUGGUAAGGUAACGGCUUACCAAGGCAACGAUGCAUAGCCGACCUGAGAGGGUGAUCGGCCACACUGGAACUGAGACACGGUCCAGACUCCUACGGGAGGCAGCAGUAGGGAAUCUUCCGCAAUGGGCGAAAGCCUGACGGAGCAACGCCGCGUGAGUGAUGAAGGUCUUCGGAUCGUAAAACUCUGUUAUUAGGGAAGAACAUAUGUGUAAGUAACUGUGCACAUCUUGACGGUACCUAAUCAGAAAGCCACGGCUAACUACGUG
Molecule: ribosomal RNA, 497 nt
Filed under: uncultured bacterium
Lineage: Bacteria
Description: partial 16S ribosomal RNA
Rfam family: Bacterial small subunit ribosomal RNA
Source: RNAcentral